CCUACGGGUGGCAGCAGUAGGGAAUAUUGCUCAAUGGGGGAAACCCUGAAGCAGCAACGCCGCGUGGAGGAUGAAGGUUUUCGGAUUGUAAACUCCUUUUGAUAGAGAAGUUAAUGACUGUAUCUAACGAAUAAGCUAUGGCUAACUCCGUGCCAGCAGCCGCGGUAAUAUGGAGGGUGCAAGCGUUACUCGGAAUCACUGGGCGUAAAGGGCGCGUAGGCGGGAUAGCAAGUCAGAUGUGAAAUCCUAUGGCUUAACCAUAGAACUGCAUUUGAAACUGUUAUUCUAGAGUAUGGGAGAGGUAGGUGGAAUUCUUGGUGUAGGGGUAAAAUCCGUAGAGAUCAAGAAGAAUACUCAUUGCGAAGGCGACCUGCUAGAACAUAACUGACGCUGAUGCGCGAAAGCGUGGGGAGCAAACAGGAUUAGAUACCCCAGUAGUC
RNAcentral lists this ribosomal RNA (440 nucleotides) under uncultured bacterium. RNAcentral describes it as "partial 16S ribosomal RNA". It matches the Rfam family "Bacterial small subunit ribosomal RNA", at positions 338 to 795 of the family's 1533-position model. The record is from RNAcentral.